GUAGGGAAUAUUGGGCAAUGGUCGGAAGACUGACCCAGCCACGCCGCGUGCAGGAAGACGGCCCUCUGGGUUGUAAACUGCUUUUAUCUGGGAAGAAAAAGGCCAUGCGUGGCAAAUUGCCGGUACCAGAUGAAUAAGCACCGGCUAACUCCGUGCCAGCAGCCGCGGUAAUACGGAGGGUGCGAGCGUUGUCCGGAUUUAUUGGGUUUAAAGGGUGCGUAGGCGGCUGAUUAAGUCAGCGGUGAAAGACUUCGGCUUAACCGGAGCAGUGCCGGUGAUAAUGGUUGGCUUGAGUGUCGGAGGGGUACAUGGAAUUGAUGGUGUAGCGGUGAAAUGCAUAGAUACCAUCAGGAACACCGAUAGCGAAGGCAUUGUACUGGCCGACAACUGACGCUGAUGCACGAAAGUGUGGGGAUCGAACAGGAUUAGAAACCCUUGUAGUCC
Molecule: ribosomal RNA, 444 nt
Filed under: uncultured bacterium
Lineage: Bacteria
Description: partial 16S ribosomal RNA
Rfam family: Bacterial small subunit ribosomal RNA
Source: RNAcentral